UCCCACAGAGGCCAGCAGGUGGAUGAGGAGAGACCCGAGGCGGCCGCCGGUCUGAGUGUCAGGUGAACUGAACUUCAGGCAUUACGCUGACGGACGGAUGGAUGGACAAUGAAUGCUUUCUCGUCCUUCUUGUCAUGCACCAUGGAAGUGUCUGAGGGGCUUUUCCACUUGGAAUCGGGAUACUGUGUCCACACUUCAGAGGUGGAGUUUCCAGCAUCUCACCUGGGCCUCAUCUGCAAACAAUCAGCAGGAGGGCUUCUUAAACCAGCGCUGCCUGCUACUCCUCGCCAGUUUGUUCUGCCAUCUCCAGUGCUUCUCCAGUGGGACUGAAGCCAUCCAUCCCACCAGCCAGCGGCCCUUCGGGUGAGAGGAAGGGCCCCGUCGAUGUGAGUGAAGUUGGCCCCCCCACCUUCUUCAAAUCCAACAAAAGUGGUAUCAAACGUUUGUGCUGGUUUGUGCUGCAAAAAUUUUUGUUUGUGCUACUAUCAUUUUAAAGAUAUUAAUAAAAAUUUCUAGAGGUCAUCAGAGGUCAACCAGCCCCCCACAUUAAUUAAAUCAAACAAAAUGGGUGUAAAUCCACUGUGCUACGUUUGUGCUGCUUUGUGCUGCUAAAAUUGUUGUUUGUGCUCCUUUUGUUUUAAAGAUAUUAAUGAAAAUGUAAAGGUCAAAAGGUCAACCAGCCCCCCCCCCACAUUACCCAAAUCAAACAAAAUUGAUGUCAAACGUUUGUGCUACGUUUGUGCUGGUUUGUGCUGCAAAAAUUUUCGUUUGUGCUGCUAUCACUUUAAAGAUAUUAAUAAAAAUUUCUAGAGGUCAUCAGAGGUCAACCAGCCCCCCCACAUUAAUUAAAUCAAACAAAAUGGGUGUCAAUCCACUGUGCUACGUUUGUGCUGGUUUGUGCUGCAAAAAUUUUCGUUUGUGCUACUAUCAUUUUAAAGAUAUUAAUAAAAAUUUCUAGAGGUCAUCAAAGGUCAACCAGCCCCCCCAUAUUAAUGGAAUCAAACAAAAUUGGUGUCAAUCAGUUGUGCUAUGCUUGUGCUGGUUUGUGCUGCAAAAAUUGUCGUUUGUGCUGCUUCUGUCUUAAAGAUAUUAAUGAAAAUGUAAAGGUCAAAAGGUCAACCAGCCCCCCCACAUCACCCAAAUCAAACAAAAUUGAUGUCAAACGUUUGUGCUGCAAAAUUUUUUGUUUGUGCCGCUAUCAUUUUAAAGAUAUUAAUAAAA
Pelmatolapia mariae (spotted tilapia) is the source of this 1221-nucleotide long non-coding RNA. RefSeq lists it as uncharacterized. Lineage: Eukaryota; Metazoa; Chordata; Actinopteri; Cichliformes; Cichlidae. The record is from RefSeq and is a predicted model, not a curated record. The transcript is spliced from 3 exons.